UUCUGUUCUGCAGCUUUGCUGGUGUGCUGU
RNAcentral lists this non-coding RNA (30 nucleotides) under Rattus norvegicus (Norway rat). The record is from RNAcentral. Lineage: Eukaryota; Metazoa; Chordata; Mammalia; Rodentia; Muridae.